UUAGUUAAUUUUUUUUAAAAAUAUUUUUUAUUUUGGAUUAAAUAAAUAAUUACUUUUUUUAGUAUUUUUUUGAAUAAAUAUUGUUUUAAUAAUUUACUGUGGAGGAAUAAUGAUAUUAUGAAUAAAGUAUUUUUUGUUUAAAGUACCUUUUGCAUCAGGGUUUAUCAAAAUAAAUAAAUUAUUUUGUUUUCUCGAAGUUUUAAGAUUUAAAAAUAAAUGUUUUUUUUUGUGUCAAAAAAAUUUAUAAUUUGUUUUUGGAAGUUAUAUGCUUUUCAUUUAAAAUAAUAUCUAGUUUACUAAUAAAUGAAUUUAAUUCAACUUAAAUUAGUUUUUUUUUAAUUUUAUUAAUUAAAAUUUUUUAAGUUAAUAUUUUUGGGGAUAAUCUCAAUUUUAUUUUUAAAAAUAAUUUAAAAUAAGAUUUUUUGUAGGAUUGAAAAUUUCUAUAUUAUUUUGUUAUAAUUACUUUUUUUUAUUAAAUGAUUUUUUUUGUUUUAAUUUUUUAUUAGUAUUUUUUAAUAAAUUUAUUAUUUUAUUAAUAAUGAUAAAAUUAGUAAUUUUUGUAAAUUUAAAUUUAGGAACUCGGCAAUAUUUAUUUUCACCUGUUUAACAAAAACAUGGUUUUUAGAUUUUUAUUUAAGAUCGGGCCUGCCCAUUGAUUUUAAAAAUUAAAAGGCUGCGGUAUUUUAACUGUACGAAGGUAGCAUAAUCAUUUGUCUUUUAAUUGAAGGCUUGAAUGAAUGGUUUGAUGAAAAAUAAACUUUCUUAUUUUAAUAUAUUUGAAUUUAAUAUUUUAGUUAAAAAGCUGAAAUUUUUUUAUAGGACGAGAAGACCCUAUAGAAGUUAACUUUAUAUAUAAUUUUAUAUUUUUGGUUAAUAAAAUGUUUAUUUAGAAUAUAAAGUUUUGUUGGGGUGACAUUAAAAUUUUUUAAACUUUUAAUUAUUUUUAUUCAUAGAUUUAUGUUAUAAUGAUCCAGAAUUUUUGAUUAAGAGAUCAACUUACCUUAGGGAUAACAGCGUAAUCUAUACGGAGAGUUCAUAUCGAUGUAUAGGUUUGCGACCUCGAUGUUGAAUUAAGAUUAGGUUUGGGUGCAAAAUUUCAUUUACCUUGGUCUGUUCGACCAUUAAAUUCUUACAUGAUUUGAGUUCAGACCGGCGUGAGCCAGGUCGGUUUCUAUCCUUAUUUAUAUUGUAAGUUAGUACGAAAGGACCAUUUACAUUAAUUAAAUUAUUGUUUUUGAUUAAAAUUA
RNAcentral lists this ribosomal RNA (1247 nucleotides) under Ptilomera tigrina. Its description in RNAcentral is "16S ribosomal RNA". The stretch from base 819 to 1177 matches the Rfam family "Archaeal large subunit ribosomal RNA", at positions 2155 to 2712 of the family's 2987-position model. The record is from RNAcentral. Lineage: Eukaryota; Metazoa; Arthropoda; Insecta; Hemiptera; Gerridae.